GUCCACGCCGUAAACGAUGUCUACUAGCCGUUGGAGAACUUGAUUCUUUAGUGGCGCAGCUAACGCACUAAGUAGACCGCCUGGGGAGUACGGCCGCAAGGUUAAAACUCAAAUGAAUUGACGGGGGCCCGCACAAGCGGUGGAGCAUGUGGUUUAAUUCGAUGCAACGCGAAGAACCUUACCAGGCCUUGACAUCCUGAGAACUUUCUAGAGAUAGAUUGGUGCCUUCGGGAACUCAGUGAC
Molecule: ribosomal RNA, 243 nt
Filed under: uncultured bacterium
Lineage: Bacteria
Description: partial 16S ribosomal RNA
Rfam family: Bacterial small subunit ribosomal RNA
Source: RNAcentral